AUACGUAGGGGGCAAGCGUUAUCCGGAUUUACUGGGUGUAAAGGGAGCGUAGGCGGCAAGGCAAGUCUGAUGUGAAAACCCGGGGCUCAACCCCGGGACUGCAUUGGAAACUGCUUAGCUAGAGUGUCGGAGAGGUAAGUGGAAUUCCUAGUGUAGCGGUGAAAUGCGUAGAUAUUAGGAGGAACACCAGUGGCGAAGGCGACUUACUAAACUGUUACUGACGCUGAUGCACGAAAGCGUGGGGAGC
This 247-nucleotide ribosomal RNA is filed under the name uncultured bacterium. RNAcentral's name for it is "partial 16S ribosomal RNA". It matches the Rfam family "Bacterial small subunit ribosomal RNA", at positions 523 to 769 of the family's 1533-position model. The record is from RNAcentral.